AGAGUUUGAUCCUGGCUCAGAACGAACGUUGGCGGCGUGGAUUAGGCAUGCAAGUCGCGGGAAUGCCCGCAAGGGUGGAACCGGCGUAAGGGGCAGUAAGGCAUGGGUAACUUACCCUGGGAUUUGGCAUAGCCCGUAGAAAUACGGGGUAAUUCCAAGCGAUGUGGUGACUGGGCCUCCAGUUGUCACCAAAGCUCCGGCGUCCUGGGAGAGGCUCAUGUGGUAUUAGCUAGUUGGUGGGGUAACGGCCUACCAAGGCGAAGAUGCCUAGCGGGUGUGAGAGCAUGACCCGCGCCAUUGGCACUGAGAACUGGCCAAACACCGACGGGUGGCUGCAGUCGAGGAUCUUCGGCAAUGGGCGCAAGCCUGACCGAGCGACGCCGCGUGUGCGAUGAAGGCCUUCGGGUUGUAAAGCACUGUCGAGGGGGAGAAAAGCCGCAAGGUGUGAUCUAUCCCUGGAGGAAGCACGGGCUAAGUUCGUGCCAGCCGCCGCGGUAAUAC
This 501-nucleotide ribosomal RNA is filed under the name uncultured bacterium. Its description in RNAcentral is "bacterial SSU rRNA". It matches the Rfam family "Bacterial small subunit ribosomal RNA", at positions 8 to 526 of the family's 1533-position model. The record is from RNAcentral.